CUAGCGACUUCAGAGUUUGAUCCUGGCUCAGAUUGAACGCUGGCGGCAUGCUUUACACAUGCAAGUCGAGCGGCAGCGCGGGGGCAACCCUGGCGGCGAGCGGCGAACGGGUGAGUAAUGCAUCGGAACGUAUCCUGUAGUGGGGGAUAACCCAGCGAAAGUUGGGCUAAUACCGCAUGAGCUCUGAGGAGGAAAGCGGGGGACCUGAAAGGGCCUCGCGCUGCCGGAGCGGCCGAUGUCCGAUUAGCUAGUUGGUGGGGUAAAGGCUUACCAAGGCGACGAUCGGUAGCUGGUCUGAGAGGAUGAUCAGCCACACUGGGACUGAGACACGGCCCAG
RNAcentral lists this ribosomal RNA (337 nucleotides) under uncultured bacterium. Its description in RNAcentral is "bacterial SSU rRNA". It matches the Rfam family "Bacterial small subunit ribosomal RNA", at positions 1 to 334 of the family's 1533-position model. The record is from RNAcentral.